GAUGAAGACGCAGCGAAAUGCGAUAAGUAAUGUGAAUUGCAGAAUUCAGUGAAUCAUCGAAUCUUUGAACGCACAUUGCGCCCGCCAGUAUUCUGGCGGGCAUGCCUGUCCGAGCGUCAUUUCAACCCUCGAACCCCUCCGGGGGGUCGGCGUUGGGGACCUCGGGAGCCCCUAAGACGGGAUCCCGGCCCCGAAAUACAGUGGCGGUCUCGCCGCAGCCUCUCCUGCGCAGUAGUUUGCACAACUCGCACCGGGAGCGCGGCGCGUCCACGUCCGUAAAACACCCAACUUCUGAAAUGUUGACCUCGGAUCAGGUAGGAAUACCCGCUGAACUUAAGCAUAUCAAUAAGCGGAGGA
RNAcentral lists this unclassified non-coding RNA (357 nucleotides) under soil metagenome. RNAcentral describes it as "partial contains 5.8S ribosomal RNA, internal transcribed spacer 2, and large subunit ribosomal RNA". The stretch from base 1 to 119 matches the Rfam family "5.8S ribosomal RNA", at positions 35 to 154 of the family's 154-position model. The record is from RNAcentral.